This 665-nucleotide long non-coding RNA is filed under the name Musa acuminata (dwarf banana). RNAcentral's name for it is "long non-coding RNA (MACU_LNC003938)". The record is from RNAcentral. Lineage: Eukaryota; Viridiplantae; Streptophyta; Magnoliopsida; Zingiberales; Musaceae.
AUAAUUUUCCAGAGCAUUCUUCGAUUCCACCUUCUUUUUAUGCUCCUCGUCUUCUGACUUGUACUUCUCCGCUUCCUGCACCAUCUUCUCAAUCUCCUCCUUGCUGAGCCUACCCUUGUCGUUGGUGAUGGUGAUCUUGUUCUUCUGUCCAGUGGUCUUGUCCUCAGCAGAGACAUUCAAGAUACCAUUGGCGUCAAUGUCGAAGCAAACCGUGAUCUGAGGAACCCCCCUAGGCGCAGGUGGAAUCCCAGAGAGCUCAAAUUUUCCAAGCAGAUUGUUGUCUCUGGUCCGGGUCCUCUCUCCCUCAUAAACCUGGAUCAAGACACCCGGUUGGUUGUCUGAAUAGGUAGAGAACACCUGUUCCUUCUUCGUGGGAAUGGUAGUGUUCCUGGGAAUUAAGACGGUCAUAACUCCUCCAGCAGUCUCCAGACCAAGAGAAAGAGGAGUGACAUCCAACAGAAGCAGGUCUUGCACCUUCUCGUUACCCUCACCGCUAAGAAUAGCAGCCUGAACAGCAGCACCGUAGGCAACUGCCUCAUCAGGAUUGAUGCUUUUGCAAAGCUCCUUCCCGUUGAAGAAGUCCUGCAACAACUGCUGAACCUUUGGUAUUCUGGUAGAUCCACCAACAAGAACCACAUCAUGGACAGUGCUCUUGUCCAUCUUGG